RNAcentral lists this ribosomal RNA (1491 nucleotides) under Klebsiella pneumoniae. RNAcentral describes it as "bacterial LSU rRNA". It matches the Rfam family "Bacterial large subunit ribosomal RNA", at positions 1 to 1530 of the family's 2925-position model. The record is from RNAcentral. Lineage: Bacteria; Pseudomonadati; Pseudomonadota; Gammaproteobacteria; Enterobacterales; Enterobacteriaceae.
GGGUUGUGAGGUUAAGCGACUAAGCGUACACGGUGGAUGCCCUGGCAGUCAGAGGCGAUGAAGGACGUGCUAAUCUGCGAAAAGCGUCGGUAAGGUGAUAUGAACCGUUAUAACCGGCGAUGUCCGAAUGGGGAAACCCAGUGCAAUUCGUUGCACUAUCGUUAACUGAAUACAUAGGUUAACGAGGCGAACCGGGGGAACUGAAACAUCUAAGUACCCCGAGGAAAAGAAAUCAACCGAGAUUCCCCCAGUAGCGGCGAGCGAACGGGGAGCAGCCCAGAGUCUGAAUCAGCUUGUGUGUUAGUGGAACGGUCUGGAAAGUCCGACGGUACAGGGUGAUAGUCCCGUACACCAAAAUGCACAGGCUGUGAACUCGAAGAGUAGGGCGGGACACGUGGUAUCCUGUCUGAAUAUGGGGGGACCAUCCUCCAAGGCUAAAUACUCCUGACUGACCGAUAGUGAACCAGUACCGUGAGGGAAAGGCGAAAAGAACCCCGGCGAGGGGAGUGAAAAAGAACCUGAAACCGUGUACGUACAAGCAGUGGGAGCACCUUCGGGUGUGACUGCGUACCUUUUGUAUAAUGGGUCAGCGACUUAUAUUCUGUAGCAAGGUUAACCGUAUAGGGGAGCCGCAGGGAAACCGAGUCUUAACUGGGCGUUAAGUUGCAGGGUAUAGACCCGAAACCCGGUGAUCUAGCCAUGGGCAGGUUGAAGGUUGGGUAACACUAACUGGAGGACCGAACCGACUAAUGUUGAAAAAUUAGCGGAUGACUUGUGGCUGGGGGUGAAAGGCCAAUCAAACCGGGAGAUAGCUGGUUCUCCCCGAAAGCUAUUUAGGUAGCGCCUCGUGAAUUCAUCUUCGGGGGUAGAGCACUGUUUCGGCUAGGGGGUCAUCCCGACUUACCAACCCGAUGCAAACUACGAAUACCGAAGAAUGUUAUCACGGGAGACACACGGCGGGUGCUAACGUCCGUCGUGAAGAGGGAAACAACCCAGACCGCCAGCUAAGGUCCCAAAGUCAUGGUUAAGUGGGAAACGAUGUGGGAAGGCACAGACAGCCAGGAUGUUGGCUUAGAAGCAGCCAUCAUUUAAAGAAAGCGUAAUAGCUCACUGGUCGAGUCGGCCUGCGCGGAAGAUGUAACGGGGCUAAACCAUGCACCGAAGCUGCGGCAGCGACACUAUGUGUUGUUGGGUAGGGGAGCGUUCUGUAAGCCUGCGAAGGUGACCUGUGAGGGUUGCUGGAGGUAUCAGAAGUGCGAAUGCUGACAUAAGUAACGAUAAAGCGGGUGAAAAGCCCGCUCGCCGGAAGACCAAGGGUUCCUGUCCAACGUUAAUCGGGGCAGGGUGAGUCGACCCCUAAGGCGAGGCCGAAAGGCGUAGUCGAUGGGAAACAGGUUAAUAUUCCUGUACUUGGUGUUACUGCGAAGGGGGGACGGAGAAGGCUAUGUUAGCCGGGCGACGGUUGUCCCGGUUUAAGCAUGUAGGCUGGUU